GUGAACGCUGGCGGUAGGCCUAACACAUGCAAGUCGCACGGCAGCACAGUAAGCGCUUGCUCUUACGGGUGGCGAGUGGCGGACGGGUGAGGAAUACAUCGGAAUCUACUUUUUCGUGGGGGAUAACGUAGGGAAACUUACGCUAAUACCGCAUACGACCUACGGGUGAAAGCAGGGGAUCUUCGGACCUUGCGCGAUUGAAUGAGCCGAUGUUGGAUUAGCUAGUUGGCGGGGUAAAGGCCCACCAAGGCGACGAUCCGUAGCUGGUCUGAGAGGAUGAUCAGCCACACUGGAACUGAGACACGGUCCAGACUCCUACGGGAGGCAGCAGUGGGGAAUAUUGGACAAUGGGCGCAAGCCUGAUCCAGCCAUACCGCGUGGGUGAAGAAGGCCUUCGGGUUGUAAAGCCCUUUUGUUGGGAAAGAAAAGCAGCAGGUUAAUACCCCGCUGUUCUGACGGUACCCAAAGAAUAAGCACCGGCUAACUUCGUG
This 491-nucleotide ribosomal RNA is filed under the name uncultured bacterium. RNAcentral's name for it is "partial 16S ribosomal RNA". It matches the Rfam family "Bacterial small subunit ribosomal RNA", at positions 29 to 507 of the family's 1533-position model. The record is from RNAcentral.